CAGCCGCCGCGGGAACACGAAGGGUGCAAGCGUUAAUCGGAAUUACUGGGCGUAAAGCGUGCGUAGGCGGUGAGUUAAGUCUGCUGUGAAAUCCCCGGGCUCAACCUGGGAAUGGCAGUGGAUACUGGCUCGCUAGAGUGUGUCAGAGGAUGGUGGAAUUCCCGGUGUAGCGGUGAAAUGCGUAGAGAUCGGGAGGAACAUCAGUGGCGAAGGCGGCCAUCUGGGACAACACUGACGCUGAGGCACGAAAGCGUGGGGAGCAAACAGGAUUAGAUACCCGGGUAGUCCCUGUCUCUUAUAC
This 301-nucleotide ribosomal RNA is filed under the name uncultured bacterium. RNAcentral's name for it is "partial 16S ribosomal RNA". It matches the Rfam family "Bacterial small subunit ribosomal RNA", at positions 509 to 807 of the family's 1533-position model. The record is from RNAcentral.